RNAcentral lists this ribosomal RNA (1475 nucleotides) under Candidatus Pelagibacter sp. Its description in RNAcentral is "bacterial SSU rRNA". It matches the Rfam family "Bacterial small subunit ribosomal RNA". The record is from RNAcentral. Lineage: Bacteria; Pseudomonadati; Pseudomonadota; Alphaproteobacteria; Candidatus Pelagibacterales; Candidatus Pelagibacteraceae.
AAACUUGAGAGUUUGAUCAUGGCUCAGAACGUACGCUGGCGGCACGCCUAACACAUGCAAGUCGAACGAAGUAGCAAUACUUAGUGGCAGACGGGUGAGUAACAUGUGGGUAUCUGCCCUUUGGCCUGGAAUAACACGAGGAAACUUGUGCUAAUACCGGAUAAGUCUUUACGGAGAAAGCUUUAUGCACCAUUGGAUGAGCCCGCACUUGAUUAGUUUGUUGGUGGGGUAAUGGCCUACCAAGACUGUGAUCAAUAGCUGAUUUGAGAGGAUGAUCAGCCACAUUGGGACUGAGACACGGCCCAAACUCCUACGGGAGGCAGCAGUGGGGAAUCUUGCACAAUGGAGGAAACUCUGAUGCAGCGAUGCCGCGUGAGUGAAGAAGGCCUUUGGGUUGUAAAGCUCUUUCGUCGGGGAAGAAAAUGACUGUACCCGAAUAAGAAGGUCCGGCUAACUUCGUGCCAGCAGCCGCGGUAAUACGAAGGGACCUAGCGUAGUUCGGAAUUACUGGGCUUAAAGAGUUCGUAGGUGGUUGAAAAAGUUGGUGGUGAAAUCCCAGAGCUUAACUCUGGAACUGCCAUCAAAACUUUUCAGCUAGAGUUUGAUAGAGGAAAGCAGAAUUUCUAGUGUAGAGGUGAAAUUCGUAGAUAUUAGAAAGAAUACCAAUUGCGAAGGCAGCUUUCUGGAUCAUUACUGACACUGAGGAACGAAAGCAUGGGUAGCGAAGAGGAUUAGAUACCCUCGUAGUCCAUGCCGUAAACGAUGUGUGUUAGACGUUGGAAAUUUAUUUUCAGUGUCGCAGCGAAAGCGAUAAACACACCGCCUGGGGAGUACGACCGCAAGGUUAAAACUCAAAUGAAUUGACGGGGACCCGCACAAGUAGUGGAGCAUGUGGUUUAAUUCGAAGAUACGCGCAGAACCUUACCAACACUUGACAUGUUCGUCGCGACUUUAAGAGAUUAAAGUUUUCGGUUCGGCCGGACGAAACACAGGUGCUGCAUGGCUGUCGUCAGCUCGUGUCGUGAGAUGUUGGGUUAAGUCCCGCAACGAGCGCAACCCUCACUUUUAGUUGCCAUCAUUUAGUUGGGCACUCUGAAAGAACUGCCAGUGAUAAGCUGGAGGAAGGUGGGGAUGACGUCAAGUCCUCAUGGCCCUUACGUGUUGGGCUACACACGUGCUACAAUGGUAUCUACAACAGGAAGCAAAACAGCGAUGUUAAGCAAAUCCUUAAAAGAUACCUCAGUUCGGAUUGCACUCUGCAACUCGAGUGCAUGAAGCUGGAAUUACUAGUAAUCGUGGAUCAGCGUGCCACGGUGAAUGCGUUCCCGGGUCUUGUACACACCGCCCGUCACACCAUGGGAGUUGGUUCUACCUUAAGGCAAGGUUUAAUACCCUUGACCACGGUAUAGUCAGCGACUGGGGUGAAGUCGUAACAAGGUAGCCGUAGGGGAACCUGCGGCUGGAUUACCUCCUUU